AACGAACGCUGGCGGCAUGCCUAACACAUGCAAGUCGAACGAGAUCUUCGGGUCUAGUGGCGCACGGGUGCGUAACGCGUGGGAACCUGCCCUUUGGUUCGGAAUAACAGUUGGAAACGACUGCUAAUACCGGAUGAUGACGAAAGUCCAAAGAUUUAUCGCCAGAGGAUGAGCCCGCGUAGGAUUAGCUAGUUGGUGUGGUAACGGCGCACCAAGGCGACGAUCCUUAGCUGGUCUGAGAGGAUGAUCAGCCACACUGGGACUGAGACACGGCCCAAACUCCUACGGGAGGCAGCAGUGGGGAAUAUUGGUCAAUGGGCGAAAGCCUGAUCCAGCAAUGCCGCGUGAGUGAUGAAGGCCUUAGGGUUGUAAAGCUCUUUUACCCGGGAUGAUAAUGACAGUACCGGGAGAAUAAGCUCCGGCUAACUACGUGCCAGCCGCCGCCGUAA
This 449-nucleotide ribosomal RNA is filed under the name uncultured bacterium. Its description in RNAcentral is "partial 16S ribosomal RNA". It matches the Rfam family "Bacterial small subunit ribosomal RNA", at positions 29 to 523 of the family's 1533-position model. The record is from RNAcentral.